UGAAAUAUUUCUCAGAUGUCAUCACUUC
Molecule: non-coding RNA, 28 nt
Filed under: Rattus norvegicus (Norway rat)
Lineage: Eukaryota; Metazoa; Chordata; Mammalia; Rodentia; Muridae
Source: RNAcentral